CUUUCUUUUGAGAUAAUCAAUAAGGCCUAGGUUUGGUUUUCCUCAUACCCCUGUAGGCUUGACAAACACAGAGCUUCGUGAAUCUGUGAUUUGAUGUCUUUGGCCACUUUUUAAACUUCCCAACUAUCAUUUAUUUAAAUAUAUCUUCUGUACUGUUGCCUUUCCUUUUUAUCUGGGACCAAUUGAACAUACGUUGUUAUUAUUUUCUACGACACCUUGAACUCUUGUCCUUUCUCUUUCAGGAUCCUCCAUCAUUUUGUCUCACCAGGCUUAAUGCUGGGCAUUUCUUCAGACUAAUUGUUUGUUUAUAGAAUUCUCCAUCCAGAGUACAUUGAUAGACAUCAUUCCUUUCAAAGAGGACCUAGAUACCUGGGUGUUUCCCAAGGAAGUAUGAAAGCUGAUAUAAACAUGGCAUUUCUGGCAUUCAUCUUCAUGAAUCCAUGAACAAGAAGGAGAAGCAGCAAUGGAUGAUACUUAUGUACAACCCCAAAUAAGAUAGUGUUAAAAAUAAAUUCAAGAGUUAUCUGCCUCGGUCACCUAAGGGUAGGUUCAGAGAAAUGAUGUAAAGGGAUAAGAGUAGAGGAUGGCUAAAAAGCAAAGGUGAAAACUGCACCCAAGGCGAUGGAGCAACUUUCCACUGGAUGUCUCAGCUUGGCUCAAGAUGAGUGCGGGAGAUGGAGGUCGAGUCUCUGGAGACUUUAUCUGAGGGGCAAGCAGGGUCUUCAUGAGUCAUUCUGCUGUACCCUACUCUGUGUGGUAUGAGUUGGAGCCAGAAGAAAUGGAACAUCUAAAGGUAAUGCAGACUCAAGGCCCAUUGUGUGUUCACACCCAGACCUACUUCUUCUUCCUCCAGCCCCGAUUUCCCUAUCCCCACCAGACCCUCUCCAUCUCUCUCUGCA
RNAcentral lists this long non-coding RNA (899 nucleotides) under Felis catus (domestic cat). RNAcentral's name for it is "lncRNA (ENSFCAG00000046003.2)". Lineage: Eukaryota; Metazoa; Chordata; Mammalia; Carnivora; Felidae. The record is from RNAcentral.